Molecule: ribosomal RNA, 720 nt
Filed under: uncultured bacterium
Lineage: Bacteria
Description: bacterial SSU rRNA
Rfam family: Bacterial small subunit ribosomal RNA
Source: RNAcentral
UGCAGCAACGCCGCGUGAGGGAUGAAGGCCUUCGGGUUGUAAACCUCUUUCAGGAGGGAAGAAAAUGACGGUACCUCCAGAAGAAGCCCCGGCCAACUACGUGCCAGCAGCCGCGGUAACACGUAGGGGGCGAGCGUUGUCCGGAAUCAUUGGGCGUAAAGGGCUCGUAGGCGGCUUAGUAAGUCGGCCGUGAAAACCCAGGGCUCAACCCUGGGACGCCGGUCGAUACUGCUAUGGCUAGGGUCCGGUAGAGGAGAGUGGAAUUCCCGGUGUAGCGGUGAAAUGCGCAGAUAUCGGGAGGAACACCAGUAGCGAAGGCGGCUCUCUGGGCCGGUACCGACGCUGAGGAGCGAAAGCGUGGGGGGCAAACAGGAUUAGAUACCCUGGUAGUCCACGCCGUAAACGUUGGGUACUAGGUGUGGCGGACUGAUCAACGUCUGCCGUGCCGAAGCUAACGCAUUAAGUACCCCGCCUGGGGAGUACGGCCGCAAGGCUAAAACUCAAAGGAAUUGACGGGGCCCCGCACAAGCGGCGGAGCAUGCGGCUUAAUUCGAUGCAACCCGUAGAACCUUACCUGGACUUGACAUCAUGGGUCUAUCUGUAGAAAUACAGAGUGCUUUGCGCCCAUGACAGGUGGUGCAUGGCUGUCGUCAGCUCGUGUCGUGAGAUGUUGGGUUAAGUCCCGCAACGAGCGCAACCCCUGUCCUAUGUUGCCAGCGG